Molecule: long non-coding RNA, 334 nt
Filed under: Sorghum bicolor (sorghum)
Lineage: Eukaryota; Viridiplantae; Streptophyta; Magnoliopsida; Poales; Poaceae
Description: long non-coding RNA (SBIC_LNC003951)
Source: RNAcentral
UGGUACGGUGUAGGGUAUGUGCAGCAGAAGUAACAUCGCUUUCAGCCUGAGGAGUCGAGUCGAUCGAGUCGGCCAUCGAUCGGUAUUCAGUAGUAGUGCCAACGGCAACCAGCAGAUAGAGUAGAGAGCUGCCUCAUCAAUUCUCAAGAGCUAGCUAGCACCGGUGCAAUUUUAAUUUUAGUUAAUCUGGAUGCAGCCUUCCUAAGGUAUAUAGUAUAGUAUAGUAUAGUAUAACCCCAGGCCUUAAGCAACAUACAUUACCUUUGAGUUGAACCAUGCAUAUAUGCUGCGGCCAUGCCAAGUGGAUAUAAUUAAACUAGUCUGCAAGAGAUCA